AUGUUACUCUUUUGUAUUAUAUUUAUUCAUUUUCUUAUUGUGCGAUUCUCUUUCGCUCAGACACCUCCUUUGAUUUGGAUUCCAUUUUAUGGCCAAGAGGAGACGACGCCUUGUCUUGGAAGCAUAAAUCAGUUUCAGUAUGUGAGCUCCCAAUGUGAUAAGACAUAUGGAAGAGGAGAAGGUGUGUUUGCUGGAGCAGAUGUCUCCUUCGGUUUUGGUGAUUGGUUUGCAAAAUAUUAUUUGGGGAAGAGCCAUCACGCAGCCUCAGAUCUUCUGCUUUGCAUGAAGUUUAAUCCCUGGCAACUCCAUGCAGAACUUGGAAAGACACCUGCUUGAAAACUCCAGACCUCUGCUUGAAAAUUACAAUGACAGUAUGGCUCUAGAUGGACCAUUGGUUUGACUCAGUAUAAGGCAGCUUCCAUAAAGACCAUCAAGAAGGCUGAUCGCCAAAGAAUUGAUGCUUUUGAAUUAUGGUGCUGGAGGAGACUCUUGAGAGUCCCAUGGACUGCAAGAAGAUCAAACCUCUCCAUUCUUAAGGAAAUCAGCCGUGAGUGAUCACUGGAAGGACACAUCCUGAAGCUGAGGCUCCAAUACUUUGGCCACCUCAUGAGAAGAGAAGACUCCCUGGAAAAGACCCUGAUGUUGGGAAAGAUGGAGGGCACAAGAAGAAGGGGACGACAGAGGACGAGAUGGUUGGACAGUGUUCUCGAUGCUACCAGCAUGAGUUUGACCAAACUGCGGGAGGCAGUGGAAGACAGGAGUGCCUGGUGUGCUCUGGUCCAUGGGGUCACGAAGAGUCGGACAAGACGAAACGACUAAACAACAACAACAAGGCAGCUUCCCAUGUUCCUUUAUUUGCCCCUAAACCGUAAGGAUAAAUUCCUUGCUGAAUCUCCCUCAAAUACAUUUAAUCGCAGGUAAUGAUGGUGUGUUGGGUGUGAAACUGUUAGUAUGGCAGUUUAAUUAAUUUUUUUCCCACCUCCCAGUUUAACAGGAUUUGACACGUAAACAUGAGUACUUUUCGGCCCAGAGAUGAAAAAGUAAUGUGUCAAAGUUUCAAUUAACAUUUGGGGAUCUCCAGAGGUUUGCCACCUAACUAAGGGAGGAGGUGUGUGGAAUCACUUGAAUUACGAUAAAAGUUCCAUUUGAUCUUUGACAACUUUUUUUAAAAAAGAAAGCAGCACCUAAUUUCACUCUUCAUAUUUAUUCUCUAGCAAAGUCUGAAAUGAUUUGCUGUCAUGGGUGGAAUGUAUUAAAGAUGCCGUGCUGCGAUCUGCUGUUUGUUUGUAUGUCUCCAAAGGAGGCCCCAGCCUGUCAGAGUCUUUUUAAUGGAAAACUUUCUCUCUUGUCAUCUGGCAAAAAUAAUAAUGGGGUGAGAAUUUAUUUCCCCUUCUCCCAAAAAAUAUCUGCCAUCAGCUUUCAGCUGCUUGUGAUUCCCCCCGCCCCAGUGGGAAAUUAUUUUUCCUGGGCCAUAUUAUUAAAAUGGUAGGUGCUGGGAGAGAGAGAGAGAGAGAGAGAGAGAGAGAGAGAGAAACCUUAGGUUUUUUUGCUUUUGUCUUAAAGUGUCCAAAUAAAAUUUUCAGCAUAUGGCAUGGCUCAUGUUGGAUGUCUGAGAGAGAAAACAAUAAAUCAAGAUAUGCAGUCCUAUGCAGGGCUACUUGCCCCUGAGACUUGGUUAGGUAGUCGCCUCAGGCGGCAGGUUGGAUUAGCUGGAAGCGUGCUGCUUACUGCCUCCUGUGCAUUUUGCCCUCCUUCUCCCCACUGCCUCUCUCCAUGGUCCACCCCCCCCCAGCAUUCUGGGGCUUCCCUUGGCUGCCUCGAUUUUCUGUUUUGCCUUCAGUAGCAAAAUAUCCUUGAGCAGCCUUGAUUCUGUGCACACUUAGUAAGUACCAGGGCCACUGAAAUCAGUGGAACCAGUAGCAGACAAUGUGUGUGGAGGGGGAGGCUGCUGCCAUUCACCUGACCUCCGUUUGGUUGCAUUGCUGCAGGGUAGAGCGGAAGAUGUGGAAGAAGCAAGGUCAGUGUGGUGCAAACACACUGGCAGAGGAGAGGUACUGCAAUCGCGAGCCGUUUAUAGGUCAACACCAGCACCUUGAAUUGGGCCUGGAAACUAAAUGGCAUCCAGUGCAGUUGAACCAGGAUUGGUGUUAUAUGCUGAAACCGUCUUUCACCAUUGAGCAACCUGGCUGCUGAAUUCUGUACCAGCUGGUUUCUGAACUGUCUUCAGAGGCAGCCUCACAUAUAAUGCAUUGUAGUAAUCUAACCUAAAGUUGAUCAGAGCCUAGACAAGGAGGUUUGGCUAUCCCUGUCCAGAUAGGGGUGCAGCUGGGCCACCAGGCAAAGCUGAUGGAAGGCAUGCCACGCCACUGAGUCCAAGAGACAGUAAUGGAACCGGAAGCAACCCAAGCUAUGUAGCUGCUCUUUCAGAUCAAGUGUAAGCCCAUCAAGGGCAGGUAACCUCUCAUCAAUCCGAUCUAGAAAACUGCCCAUGAACAGUGCCUCAGACUGGAUCUCAACACACGAAAGAAGCAUUUCAGGAAAACGUGUUGCAAUCUUUGUAUGAGAAAUUGUGUGGGCAAAAACGGAACUCCACAGCGCCAUCUGGAGUCACGGUGCUAUAAUGCAUACACAAUGCAUAUAAAACGCUUUUUCUUUACCAGUGUAGCCGAGUCCUCAGUCUUAUCUGAAUUGAGCUUCAGUUUCAAUGUAUGUACUUGAUGGUCUGGUCUGUGUAAUAGUCUAAAGUGUGUGUGUGUGUGUGUGUGUGUGUGUGUGAGAGAGAGAGAGAGAGAGAGAGAGAGAGAGGCUAGUGGUCUGCUAUUCCUGUGGCUGAUCACAAAGCUGAAUUAGUUGCUUCCAAAUAAAGUAAUAUUUUGGUUGCUUACAAAUAAACUAAUUUUAUUAUUUGAGUUGGGGCUGAAAGCAACUGAUCAGUAAAAAUAAUGGAUGAGAGUCAAAUCUUAAAAUGCAAUGUGAUGUUAAACUGUUAAUCAAAAUUGCCUCCUACCAAAAAAUAAAGUAUUCAGUAUGGGCUGAAUUGUUGCAUAAAUAUAGUGAAGAUGCCACACAGUAAUACUAGCAGUAGCAGCAACAGCAGCAGCAGCAGUAAUGGUACCAACAACUCCCUCUAACAGCUGUGUUCAGAAGUGAUUGUGUAGGGGAAAAGCAGCACUCAGCCAUCAAAGGAAGGAGUCGGAAUGCUUGGGGAAUCCCAAGAUUUUCAGAAGGCUAAAAAUAUUUAGAAAAAAUAAUCACUAAGAAGACCAAAAAAAAAAAGAAAGAGAGGAAAUGAAACAAAAUCUGAACAGCCCAUGAUGUCUGACGAUGCUAACUGCCACAGCUGUUUGUCUCUUGUGUAAAUGUGGGUAGAGAGUAAAGAAAUAAUGGAGUAUUUUGGAAGAGGGUGCAGCUGAAUGGCUGGUUAACUGGGACCCAGAACAGAAGCAUUUGGUGCUGCAGCACUUUGUGUUACAUCCUCAGCAUCAGUACAUUCUGAGUGUUAGAGGCAUUUCAUGUAUAUUUUAAUAUAUUAUUUUAAUUCAUGCUUGAGCAGUGCUAUAAUAAGUGAAUAAUUCCUCAUGUAAAUCCAUAACUGAAUAAAGAACUAGUUGUGCAAAUAGUUCCUACACAUAAAGUUUUAUUUACCUGUAAGUGGUUUACCAGAAAUAUUAAAAUCAUCCAUAAAAAAAUAAAUUAAAAAGGGAGAUCCAGAAUGUAGGUGCUGCCACACUAAAAGAUUGAUUUCUUCUAACAAGUAUUAUGGGGCAACUACAACAGUACCAGUUCUGCAGAUCAAAGUUAGGGGGUCAGGUGAUCCCGCAAGAAAAGUAGUCCCAUGACACGAAGGGCUUUACAUAUCAGCAGUAACAUAUUGAACUUUCUAGCAAAGAGCUCAAGGUGACAUGCAUCAUUCUCCCCUUUCUCUUUUUAUCCUCACAACAACCCUGUGAGGUAGGUUACACUAAGGCAGGGGUCAGCAAACUUUUUGUUAAGUUGUGGGUGAACAUAUCAGACGUCACAGCGAUUCUUCAAACAGCACUUGUUUAUUCACAG
Molecule: long non-coding RNA, 4053 nt
Organism: Podarcis muralis (Common wall lizard)
Lineage: Eukaryota; Metazoa; Chordata; Lepidosauria; Squamata; Lacertidae
Source: Ensembl